GAUGAACGCUGGCGGCGUGCCUAAUACAUGCAAGUCGAGCGAACAGACGAGGAGCUUGCUCCUCUGACGUUAGCGGCGGACGGGGGAGUAACAGGUGGUUAACCUACCUUUAAGACUGGGAUAAUUCCGGGAAACGGGACUCAAUACCGGAUAAUUAAUUAAACAGAAUGGUUCAAUAGUUAAAGAAGGUUUUGCUGGCACUAAUACAUGGAUCCGCGCCGCAUUAGCUAGUUGGUAAGGUAACGGCUUACCAAGGCAACGAUGCGUAGCCGACCUGAGAGGGUGAUCGGCCACACUGGAACUGAGACACGGUCCAGACUCCUACGGGAGGCAGCAGUAGGGAAUCUUCCGCAAUGGGCGAAAGCCUGACGGAGCAACGCCGCGUGAGUGAUGAAGGUCUUCGGAUCGUAAAACUCUGUUAUUAGGGAAGAACAAAUGUGUAAGUAACUAUGCACGUCUUGACGGUACCUAAUCAGAAAGCCACGGCUAACUACGUG
Molecule: ribosomal RNA, 497 nt
Filed under: uncultured bacterium
Lineage: Bacteria
Description: partial 16S ribosomal RNA
Rfam family: Bacterial small subunit ribosomal RNA
Source: RNAcentral